RNAcentral lists this ribosomal RNA (333 nucleotides) under Triticum aestivum (bread wheat). RNAcentral describes it as "partial small subunit ribosomal RNA". Lineage: Eukaryota; Viridiplantae; Streptophyta; Magnoliopsida; Poales; Poaceae. The record is from RNAcentral.
AUGCAGACGGCCAAGGUGAAGGUGAAGGACGCGGUGAGCUCGGCCAAGGAGAAGGCGAAGGAGGGCACGGCCAAGGCGCAGGGCAAGACGGGCAAGGCCACGGCGACCACGCACGGCGAGAAGGAGAUGGCCAAGGAGGAGACGCGCGCCAACGAGGCCCAGGCCAAGGCCGAGAUGCACCAGGAGAAGGCCGAGCACCGCGCCGAGGCCGCCGCGGGGCGCCACGGUGCCACGCACGUGCCCCUCACCGGGCCGCAUGGCCACCACCGCCCUGCGGGCGCCGCCGCCGACCCUGCGUACACGGGCACCGGCGCGUACCCGACCACGGACUAG